GGAGAGAUGUCCGAGCUGGCUUAAGGAGCGCGCCUGGAAAGCGCGUGGGCCUUUUUGGCCUCCUGGGUUCGAAUCCCAGUCUCUCCG
This 87-nucleotide transfer RNA is filed under the name Candidatus Zixiibacteriota bacterium. RNAcentral describes it as "tRNA-Ser". It matches the Rfam family "tRNA". From Rfam's summary of the family: Transfer RNA (tRNA) molecules are approximately 80 nucleotides in length. Their secondary structure includes four short double-helical elements and three loops (D, anti-codon, and T loops). Further hydrogen bonds mediate the characteristic L-shaped molecular structure. tRNAs have two regions of fundamental functional importance: the anti-codon, which is responsible for specific mRNA codon recognition, and the 3' end, to which the tRNAs corresponding amino acid is attached (by aminoacyl-tRNA synthetases). tRNAs cope with the degeneracy of the genetic code in two manners: having more than one tRNA (with a specific anti-codon) for a particular amino acid; and 'wobble' base-pairing, i.e. permitting non-standard base-pairing at the 3rd anti-codon position. The record is from RNAcentral. Lineage: Bacteria; Pseudomonadati; Candidatus Zixiibacteriota.